UCUCUGGUGGCUCAGAUGGUAAAGAAUCUGCUUGCAGUGCAGAAGACCCAGGUUUGAUCCCUGGGUUGGGAG
RNAcentral lists this transfer RNA (72 nucleotides) under Bos taurus (domestic cattle). It matches the Rfam family "tRNA". Rfam says of the family: Transfer RNA (tRNA) molecules are approximately 80 nucleotides in length. Their secondary structure includes four short double-helical elements and three loops (D, anti-codon, and T loops). Further hydrogen bonds mediate the characteristic L-shaped molecular structure. tRNAs have two regions of fundamental functional importance: the anti-codon, which is responsible for specific mRNA codon recognition, and the 3' end, to which the tRNAs corresponding amino acid is attached (by aminoacyl-tRNA synthetases). tRNAs cope with the degeneracy of the genetic code in two manners: having more than one tRNA (with a specific anti-codon) for a particular amino acid; and 'wobble' base-pairing, i.e. permitting non-standard base-pairing at the 3rd anti-codon position. RNAcentral also lists the same sequence under 2 other names. Lineage: Eukaryota; Metazoa; Chordata; Mammalia; Artiodactyla; Bovidae. The record is from Rfam by way of RNAcentral.